This 467-nucleotide ribosomal RNA is filed under the name uncultured bacterium. RNAcentral's name for it is "partial 16S ribosomal RNA". It matches the Rfam family "Bacterial small subunit ribosomal RNA", at positions 28 to 506 of the family's 1533-position model. The record is from RNAcentral.
GACGAACGCUGGCGGCGUGCUUAACACAUGCAAGUCGAACGGAAAGGCCCUGCUUUUGUGGGGUGCUCGAGUGGCGAACGGGUGAGUAACACGUGAGUAACCUGCCCUUGACUUUGGGAUAACUUCAGGAAACUGGGGCUAAUACCGGAUAGGAGCUCCUGCUGCAUGGUGGGGGUUGGAAAGUUUCGGCGGUUGGGGAUGGACUCGCGGCUUAUCAGCUUGUUGGUGGGGUAGUGGCUUACCAAGGCUUUGACGGGUAGCCGGCCUGAGAGGGUGACCGGCCACAUUGGCACUGAGAUACGGCCCAGACUCCUACGGGAGGCAGCAGUGGGGAAUAUUGCACAAUGGGCGGAAGCCUGAUGCAGCAACGCCGCGUGCGGGAUGACGGCCUUCGGGUUGUAAACCGCUUUCGCCUGUGACGAAGCGUGAGUGACGGUAAUGGGUAAAGAAGCACCGGCUAACUACGU